UUCCUCUUUUCUCCUCUCUAAUCUGCAUUGGGAGCUCUCUCAUCUGAUUUGGGACUUGUCUUCUUUGUAGAAAAGAUAGCAAGCACUUUACAUGGUGGAUACGCCGCUGGCGCUAAUGCAUGAUGGUGUUUGUGCUUCACUUAGGCGGACUCGGGCCUUAGUGACUUAAAAGACAAUUAUUGUGUUAGUUUAGUUUGAACUGAAAGACAAUGUGAACUCUUCAUUUAAUAAUACAUAACUUUAAUUGCCAUGGUUGUUGAAACAAUAAUUCUGUCGCAAUUCACUCCCCGGCGUUUCCGCCGCGGUUUCGUUGUUUUGACGCGGCCGGGGUGUGACAGUAUUUUGUUAAGUCAUAUUACUUUAAAUCCAAAAAUAAUAUAACUAUACACAAAGUAUACACAUAUUCACACAAGUGUCUUUAAUAUAAAAUAUAUAUUCUAAAUAUACAUUUACCCAUUUUUAUUUACAAAAACCAACCUCCAAUACUUGUAUUUUUGUGUCAAAAUUUAUCGCAAAGUUUAUAUUGAAAAACAUAGUUUAAAACACACUUGUAAAUACUUGUUUAGAAAAUAUUUCUAAGUGUUUGCAUUUUUAGAAAAUUUUGUCAUAGUUUCCUUUGAAAUUGGAGGUGUCCAUGCUAUUUAGCAUAUCAUUUUCUUUUCAAAAAUCAUCACACAAUAAUCAACAAUCAACCCUAAACAAUAUUAGACUUACCAAGUGCAAAAACUAGCUAUCUACAUAAAGAUCAUGAACUUGAGUUUUUGUAAAAUCUUGUAGUAACUUGGUGUUAUGUCUAGUAGCCUUAGUUACCCUCCAAAAUAUAUUUACUUCUUGAUAAACUUCAUUCUUGAAAGUUUUAGAUGUUUACAACUUCUAAACAUAUUUUACAAAAAUGUUUAUGUAUCAGAUCUUCUUGUUUCGUAAGUGUUUCUACACCUAUUUUAUCACUAAAAAUGGUGUAAGUUUAAGUAAAAACCAUGAUCUUCCAAAAAUCAUAUUUUAAACUUGGUUUUCUCGGAAAAUCAUUCAUAAAUCUUGAAUCUAUAAAUUUACUAGCUUACUUUGUUUAUUAUUUUUUGAGAAAUCCUUUUAUUCAUCAAGUUCAUGUUUACACAAGAAGAUGAUUAUCUUAUGUUGUCACAUAAUCAUCCUUUCACUUGGUAGAUCAUGUGUUUAAUCACAAUCUAGCAAGCUCCAUAUGAUGAUCAACAUCAUAUUCUCAAGAAAACAACAAUCAAUCAUCACACAUAUACUAAACUUCAUCAUUUUAUCCAUAUUUCAUCAUAUAUAAGCUUUAUGUUCAAGAUUCAAGUUUAUGUCUUUUAGUGAUCUUAUGAUUUUCCACAUAAUACAUCUUUUAACCACUAAAAAUAGAAGUAUCAAAGGGUUACAAGAAACUUACUACUAGCUCUAAGCUAUGGAAGAAACAAGUGUGAAGAUGGAGUGGAUAAAAGCUUGUGUGAGUGGUCCUUCAAGAUCCAAGAGUUCCAAGCUUCCUUAAUCACCCUUGAACACCUUUGUGAGCAUGUGGAUUGAAUGAAGCUUGAAUGAUGAUGAUGGUGGUGGAGGUGGGCUCACGGCCGAGAAGAAGAAGGGAGAGGGAGAGAGGUGAAGUGGUGAUGAUCAUGAAAGCUCUACUCCUUCUUAUAACCAUUUAGUGGUUUUGUCCAAUGGUCCUUAUGUUUCUAGAAGUACCAACAUAAUCUUCCACUAAAUCAAGCAAGAUCAAGGAAGAUUAGGGAAUAUCUUGUAAGAUUUUGGAGAUCACAAGUGGGGGCCACUUCUUGGUGAUCAUAAUAUGAAGAGAGGAGGGGGGGGGUUAUGUGUAACUUUAGAUGGUAAGUAGGUAAUUAGUUGGAGGUUAAGUGUAAAGUAUUGUGUUUUAAGUGUAUGAGGCAUUAUGUAGUAUGUUAGGGUGUUCGGGGAUCACAACUAGCUAAAAAAUAAUAAAACAAUGCU
Molecule: long non-coding RNA, 1959 nt
Filed under: Helianthus annuus (common sunflower)
Lineage: Eukaryota; Viridiplantae; Streptophyta; Magnoliopsida; Asterales; Asteraceae
Description: hypothetical non coding rna
Source: RNAcentral